Long non-coding RNA from Sorghum bicolor (sorghum), 627 nucleotides. RefSeq lists it as uncharacterized. The transcript has 3 exons. The record is from RefSeq and is a predicted model, not a curated record. Lineage: Eukaryota; Viridiplantae; Streptophyta; Magnoliopsida; Poales; Poaceae.
ACGACCCUUUUUCCGAGCCGCCGCUCGUAGCUCCGUAGAUCGAUCGCCGAAGUUUCGGAUCUCGUUCCCGGCGAACUUUUCCGGUGAAAGUUCGGCGAGCUUUUCCGGCCAACUCCGGCGUCCUCUGUAGAAACCGUUACCGCUCCGAGGCGAGGUCAUCCAUGGACGAGCCCGUUCAUCAUCUCCAUCGGUCGGCCACGUUACCCUUCAGGCCAGCGGCGCCAAGCCUCGUGCCUCCUCUCUGCUAGCCACCUCUCCGCGCAACCUACGUCGCCUGGCCCUACGCGUGGCUGCAGGCCGAGAGCAGCAACACGCUGUGCUCACGCACCGGCCGUGCGUGGCCUAGCACCGCGGGCGAGGGCGCGUGGCCCAGCUUGGGUGCGUGCGAGCCCUCCAUCUGGCCGGACAGCAGGCCAAGGCCCCACGCCCGAGGCCUCUGUGCCCCUGCACAAGCCCCUCGACGAGAGCAGCAACGGACAGCCAUAGAUGCAUACGUGAACAAGGGGAACGCAAGAAGAAGCGUGGUUCGUCAACAGUGAAAAUCAGGAGCUAAGGACCGACAGUCAAAGCAGAAAAUAGAUAUCAGAAGAAAGAAGCCAAAGAAUUCUGAGCAGAUAUACACUGGGA